UGGGGAAUUUUGGACAAUGGGCGCAAGCCUGAUCCAGCCAUGCCGCGUGCGGGAAGAAGGCCUUCGGGUCGUAAACCGCUUUUGUCAGGGAAGAAAUCUUCUGAGUUAAUACCUCGGGAGGAUGACGGUACCUGAAGAAUAAGCACCGGCUAACUACGUGCCAGCAGCCGCGGUAAUACGUAGGGUGCAAGCGUUAAUCGGAAUUACUGGGCGUAAAGCGUGCGCAGGCGGUUUUGUAAGACAGAGGUGAAAUCCCCGGGCUCAACCUGGGAACUGCCUUUGUGACUGCAAGGCUUGAGUGCGGCAGAGGGGGAUGGAAUUCCGCGUGUAGCAGUGAAAUGCGUNGAUAUGCGGAGGAACACCGAUGGCGAAGGCAAUCCCCUGGGCCUGCACUGACGCUCAUGCACGAAAGCGUGGGGAGCAAAACAGGAUUAGAUCCCUGGUAGUCCACGCCCUAAACGAUGUCAACUGGUUGUU
This 477-nucleotide ribosomal RNA is filed under the name uncultured bacterium. RNAcentral's name for it is "partial 16S ribosomal RNA". It matches the Rfam family "Bacterial small subunit ribosomal RNA", at positions 355 to 824 of the family's 1533-position model. The record is from RNAcentral.